UACAUGCAAGUCGAGCGAAUGGAUUAAGAGCUUGCUCUUAUGAGGCUAGCGGCGGACGGGUGAGUAACGCGUGGGUAACCUGCCGAUGAGACUGGAAUAACUCCGGAAAACCGAGGCUAUUACCGGAUAAGAUUUUGAACCGCAUGGUUCGAACUUGAAAGGUGAUUUCGUCUGACGCUUAUGGAUGGACCCGCGUCGCAUUAGCUAGAUGGUGAGGCAUCGGCUCACCAAGGUAACGAUGCGGAGACGACCUGAGAGGGUGAUCGGACACACUGGGACUGAGACACGGACCAGACUCCUACGGGAGGCAGCAGUAGGGAAUCUUCCGCAAUGUACGAAAGUCUGACGGAGCGACGCCGCGUGAGUGAUGAAGGCUUUCGGGUCGUAAAACUCUGUUGUUAGGGAAGAACAAGUGCUAGUUGAAUAAGCUGGCACCUUGACGGUACCUAACCAGAAAGCCACGGCUAACUACGUGCCAGCAGCCGCGGUAAUACGUAGGUGGCAAGCGUUAUCCGGAAUUAUUGGGCGUAAAGCGCGCGCAGGUGGUUUCUUAAGUCUGAUGUGAAAGCCCACGGCUCAACCGUGGAGGGUCAUUGGAAACUGGGAGACUUGAGUGCAGAAGAGGAAAGUGGAAUUCCAUGUG
Molecule: ribosomal RNA, 643 nt
Filed under: Bacillus sp. (in: firmicutes)
Lineage: Bacteria; Bacillati; Bacillota; Bacilli; Caryophanales; Bacillaceae
Description: bacterial SSU rRNA
Rfam family: Bacterial small subunit ribosomal RNA
Source: RNAcentral